AGUGAACGCUGGCGGUAUGCCUAACACAUGCAAGUCGAACGGCAGCACAGUAAGAGCUUGCUCUUACGGGUGGCGAGUGGCGGACGGGUGAGGAAUACAUCGGAAUCUACUUUUUCGUGGGGGAUAACGUAGGGAAACUUACGCUAAUACCUCAUACGACCUACGGGUGAAAGCAGUGGAUCUUCGGACCUUGCGCGAUUGAAUUAGCCGAUGCCGGAUUAGCUAGUUGGCGGGGUAAAGGCCCACCAAGGCAACGAUCCGUAGCUGAUCUGAGAGGAUGAUCAGCCACACUGGAACUGAGACACGGUCCAGACUCCUACGGGAGGCAGCAGUGGGGAAUAUUGGACAAUGGGCGAAAGCCUGAUCCAGCCAUACCGCGUGGGUGAAGAAGGCCUUCGGGUUGUAAAGCCCUUUUGUUGGGAAAGAAAAGCAGCAGGUUAAUACCCCGCUGUUCUGACGGUACCCAAAGAAUAAGCACCGGCUAACUUCGUG
Molecule: ribosomal RNA, 492 nt
Filed under: uncultured bacterium
Lineage: Bacteria
Description: partial 16S ribosomal RNA
Rfam family: Bacterial small subunit ribosomal RNA
Source: RNAcentral